ACAGCAGCAGCCGCGGGAACACGUAAGGGGCGAGCGUUGUUCGGAAUUAUUGGGCGUAAAGGGCAUGUAGGCGGUUAGGUAAGCCUGAUGUGAAAUGUACGAGCUUAACUCGUAAACUGCAUUGGGUACUGCUUGACUUGAAUCAUGGAGGGGAAACUGGAAUUCCAAGUGUAGGGGUGGAAUCUGUAGAUAUUUGGAAGAACACCGGUGGCGAAGGCGGGUUUCUAGCCAAUGAUUGACGCUAAGGUGCGAAGGUGCGGGGAGCAAACAGGAUUAGAUACCCCAGUAGUCCCUGUCUCUUAUAC
This 305-nucleotide ribosomal RNA is filed under the name uncultured bacterium. Its description in RNAcentral is "partial 16S ribosomal RNA". It matches the Rfam family "Bacterial small subunit ribosomal RNA", at positions 505 to 807 of the family's 1533-position model. The record is from RNAcentral.